This 630-nucleotide ribosomal RNA is filed under the name Salmonella enterica. RNAcentral's name for it is "partial 23S ribosomal RNA". It matches the Rfam family "Bacterial large subunit ribosomal RNA", at positions 2174 to 2803 of the family's 2925-position model. Lineage: Bacteria; Pseudomonadati; Pseudomonadota; Gammaproteobacteria; Enterobacterales; Enterobacteriaceae. The record is from RNAcentral.
GUCUGCAUGGAGCCGACCUUGAAAUACCACCCUUUAAUGUUUGAUGUUCUAACGUGGACCCGUGAUCCGGGUUGCGGACAGUGUCUGGUGGGUAGUUUGACUGGGGCGGUCUCCUCCUAAAGAGUAACGGAGGAGCACGAAGGUUGGCUAAUCCUGGUCGGACAUCAGGAGGUUAGUGCAAUGGCAUAAGCCAGCUUGACUGCGAGCGUGACGGCGCGAGCAGGUGCGAAAGCAGGUCAUAGUGAUCCGGUGGUUCUGAAUGGAAGGGCCAUCGCUCAACGGAUAAAAGGUACUCCGGGGAUAACAGGCUGAUACCGCCCAAGAGUUCAUAUCGACGGCGGUGUUUGGCACCUCGAUGUCGGCUCAUCACAUCCUGGGGCUGAAGUAGGUCCCAAGGGUAUGGCUGUUCGCCAUUUAAAGUGGUACGCGAGCUGGGUUUAGAACGUCGUGAGACAGUUCGGUCCCUAUCUGCCGUGGGCGCUGGAGAACUGAGGGGGGCUGCUCCUAGUACGAGAGGACCGGAGUGGACGCAUCACUGGUGUUCGGGUUGUCAUGCCAAUGGCACUGCCCGGUAGCUAAAUGCGGAAGAGAUAAGUGCUGAAAGCAUCUAAGCACGAAACUUGCCCCGAG